UAACCUCUUGCAAGUGGACACUCCCUAACACCCGCAUGUAUCUGUCUUCUUAUCUUAUCGUGUCUUAUCUUAUCUAGUAUGUAUGUUAUUUAAUUGUUGACCAUGUUCUUACACAAUCAUACAUGAAUUUUUACCUUACUACCAUUAUACAAGUACUAAUUACAUAUACACUCACUCAAUCAUUAUCGUUUACCCAACAAAUCUUCAAAUCAAUAUUCUUUUUGUAGACAAGAACUAUAGACUAUUAUUGUUUUUCGCCAAAUAAUCAUGUAUGCUUUCUUAAUAAUAAAUGUGUCUUCAAGAGAGCUUUUGUUUUCCACCAUUUUGCUUUGUUUUUAUUGAAACUUUUAGGCCCAGUUAUAUGUUAUUUAUCAAGAAAUGAGGUUAUCAAGUUCAUAUGUUGUUCCUUCAUGGUGAUCCGAUAAGGUAUAUGAUAUUGCCAUAUAUAGUUAUACAUUUUACGUGAAAUCUUAGUGUUUUAGCUACAUUUGGUCUUAAAUUAGAGAUAAAAGAUACUUACUAUGUUUAAAUUUUGUUUUGUAGGAGCGAAGUCAUGCUCAAGAUAAAAGGAGCAAAAAUAUGGUGCUAGAAGCAGGAUUGCUGAAAAGAGUCAACAAAGGUCAAAUCAUGGAGGAUUUUUGAAGCACCACGACAUGGUCAUAUGAUUGCAAAGACAUGGUGACGAGACUUGGAUCGAUAUACUUAACGGAUGAUGUGCGAUUUGGAUAACUUGGAGGAUAUGUGAAGGAGUCGAUACCACGACAUGGUCAUAACCUUAUCACGGUAUGGUGACUAAAUUUUGGAAAACUUUAUAAACUCGGAUCUCAUUCAUUAUUAGGAUUAUCCGUCAAGUUUUGGAUGAACCCUAGCGAUCAUAAAGCUUAGAGAAUAUCAGUUGCUAGCAGAGAUCGAUAGUGGAACGAGAUUCAAAGAGAUCAAGAGAUGAAUAGUGAUAAUUAAUUUCGUUUGCUUGUCUUAAACAUGUUUAAUUCAGUUUACUUGUGUUAAUUCAUUUGUCUACUUUAGUUAUGGGCUAAUAACCCUAAACUUUCUAUUAGAGUAGAUCAAGCACAGAUAUAUACGUUGAUUUUGAUAUUUACGUAUUAUUCUUAGUUGUUUAUUAGUUAUGAUUGCUUGGUAAAGAACCUUACAUAUCAAAGUUGUUGCUUUUCCU
This 1174-nucleotide long non-coding RNA is filed under the name Lactuca sativa (garden lettuce). RNAcentral describes it as "long non-coding RNA (LSAT_LNC008487)". Lineage: Eukaryota; Viridiplantae; Streptophyta; Magnoliopsida; Asterales; Asteraceae. The record is from RNAcentral.